AAUUCGGAAUUCACACCAGAAAUAUGUGUGUAUCAUCAUCACCUGAAGUUUGACCUCCAAUCGCGCAGAUUAAAAGAAUUUGUUUGGAACUUUAAUUUUGUGCUUGAUUUCAGGACCAUCUGCAAGUCAGUACUAAAAUUCUUGGACUGCUCUCAACGUAAAAUCACUGCAUAGUUAUAUAUCAGAUAAUCAGAUUUCAUCUAGUUGGAUACGUCAAUUUUAUAAUCUGUGGACCUGUUGCAACUGUCAUCUUUAGUCGUAAGCGAUAUCGUACCACUUGCCUGCGAAUAACACCAGGCAUUCUUGUACGAAUAUAAAUAAUUUUUUUAAACAAGUUGUAUGUUCACAGAAAUUUUAGCGUGACAGACUUCCAUCUUUAGUACAGUCUGAUUCCGAGAUUUUGAGGAUAUAGUUAGGGAAACGUAUACCAAAAAAGAUAAGCCAAACACUCCAGAACUUGUUAAACCGUGAUUAAUUGCCUAUCACUACGUAUUAAUAGGUCUAUCAUUGCAGACAGAUAAAUUUAGUCUGCUAACAUUUAAAUAGCUCUCCUUUGACUAUCCCCAUUUACAAAUCAAGCGAAU
Paramuricea clavata is the source of this 584-nucleotide non-coding RNA. The record is from the annotation of a GenBank genome assembly. Lineage: Eukaryota; Metazoa; Cnidaria; Anthozoa; Malacalcyonacea; Plexauridae.